This 73-nucleotide transfer RNA is filed under the name Salmo salar (Atlantic salmon). It matches the Rfam family "tRNA". Rfam says of the family: Transfer RNA (tRNA) molecules are approximately 80 nucleotides in length. Their secondary structure includes four short double-helical elements and three loops (D, anti-codon, and T loops). The record is from Rfam by way of RNAcentral. Lineage: Eukaryota; Metazoa; Chordata; Actinopteri; Salmoniformes; Salmonidae.
GCCGAAAUAGCUCAGUUUGGAGAGCGUUAGACUGAAGAACUUAAGGUCCCUGGUUCGAUCAGGGGUUUUGGCA